UUUCAUCAAGGUGCCAGAACAGACUUAAGAAACAAUGAGAAAAAACUGGCUUUGGACAUGGCUACCAAUGCUGCCUGUGCUUCCUUGCUUAAAAAGAAACAAGGGCAAGACAUAAUGCGAACAUUAAGCAAUGCAGAAGACUAUCUUGAUGAUGAAGACUCUGACUGAAUUGCCUUAAUUUGCCUUGAAAAAUCAAUAGCUUCUUCUUUUCAUCUUUCUCAGAUUAUUUUCCUCUGCUGUGACAAAAUAUUUUUAUCACAAUGUGUGCUACUAUAACUUAAGUAUGGGGAGACAUUCCUCCCUUAUAAAAAAAAGUUCUCCCCUAUUAAGGCUAUAAAUUCCCUAAUUGCUUUUUAAAUUAUUUGUCUAGAAGAGGGCUAUGUUGAAAUAGGCUUCACUCUUUAAGUAACAUUUAGAGAUGUCAGCCAUUUGGAGUGGACGGGAAAUAUAUAUUCAUCUUAAAAUGACAUGUUUUGGGCUAUUUUAUGGAGAACAACAUCUCAGGAACUUGGAUUCUCCACAGAACAUUUUACCAUCAUCCCUUAUCCUCUCUCUUCCCCCUCCAUAUAUAUUUAUAGGUUGUCUCUCAUUAAGUUGAUCUACUUUGUGCUAGAACACCUAAUGGCAGGUUACGUAAAGAAAACUCAGGCCAGGGAGCUAAAAUUAAAUGACUCCUUUAAUGUUUCCCUUGAGAACUGGCUGUGAUUGCAAUUACUGUAGGUUAAUUCACAUGGUCCAAAAAACGGUUUAGCACCAGAUGAGGUAGGGAGGGAAUAAUCUUGAGGGAAGAGUGAGAAAGGAAAAGGAAGAUUGUUUGGUCAGCUAAAAGCAGCCAUUUAGCCUUGAUAGUUCAGACAUUAAUCUUUUGCAAUCUCUCUAGAAUAAGGAUGGCCAACCUUGGCAACUUUAAGACCUGUUGGACUUCAACUCCCAGGAUUCCUCAGCUAGCCAUGGAAUUCUGGGAGUUGAAGUCCACAGGUCUUAAUGUUGCCACAGUUGGACAUCUCUGCUCUAGGAGUCUUGUCACUACAAUUGGAUCUGGAGGAUAAAAGAAGGCUUAAUUCUGUCUUUUACAAUGACCGUAGGGAGAAUUUGAUCUUAUGAAUAAGAAAUGUAUGUUUAAGCUCAAACGUGUCUUCCAUAAUAAUAAUUUUGGAGAUGAAAAGAGGCUGAGCCUUCUCUUUCGCUCUAAUUUGUAUGUGUGAGAUAUUUUCCAAAUGUCCCUUAUUUCACAGAAUUGCUGCCCUCUGUGUGUAUGUACUGGUAUGUAUGUAUGUAUGUGUAGAUGUGCUUGCGUGUGUCCAAGUCCUGAAUUUUAAGUGGAGAGAAAACUAGGUAAGAUAUCCUCCGUUGUCUUGCUUUAUGGCUUUAUGAGGUAAUAAGCCAAAAAAUGUGGCAUUUGCCCAUCUGAACACAUGCAGAAGUCUGUUAAUUUAUCUGCAUCAUUUCUUCUUUUUCACCUGAACAUCUCAUCAAAGUUGUUUCUACACAUGAAUCCAGCAUCUGGAUUAAGAGAGAUGUAAUAGGCAAUCCAUUUAUGGUCUUUAUUAUCUCUAUAUUGCAACAUAGAGGUGGCAGUAAAUCAUUUUUGCCAAAGUGUUCCUGGCUGCAAUAAUGGGAGUUGCGUUGAAACACAUCUAAAGUACAGUAUAUAAUAUUGGGACCAGCUGCACUCAGUCUUCAUGUAUUUAUAGUAGAAUUCAUUCACUGAGGCCCAUGGUAUAUAACAUUCUCUUUGUACAGGUUGUCAACUUAAUUUGGGGCAGAUUUACCUAGAGAUACUCGUUAUUCUGCUGUAAUUUGGAAGAUAUUUAUGGUUGUGUCUGUAACAGGAUGAUAAUGACUCUUUUCACCAUAUGCUCUUAACUUUCCUGUUUCUUUUUACCUUCAAAGUAUUUCAGAGUGGAUAUGUUCUGAACUCAUGCGCAAUGUAAAAAAGCCUACAAGCCAAAACUAUAUUCAGAAAAGUAUUGAUUCAGUAUGAAUAAAUAUUUUUAAAUGCUUUGAAA
Molecule: non-coding RNA, 2009 nt
Organism: Thamnophis sirtalis
Lineage: Eukaryota; Metazoa; Chordata; Lepidosauria; Squamata; Natricidae
Source: RefSeq, a predicted model, not a curated record